This 1491-nucleotide ribosomal RNA is filed under the name Mycobacterium tuberculosis MTB-476. Its description in RNAcentral is "bacterial LSU rRNA". It matches the Rfam family "Bacterial large subunit ribosomal RNA", at positions 1454 to 2925 of the family's 2925-position model. The record is from RNAcentral. Lineage: Bacteria; Bacillati; Actinomycetota; Actinomycetes; Mycobacteriales; Mycobacteriaceae.
UAGUCAAGCGAAGGGGUGACGCAGGAAGGUAGCCGUACCAGUCAGUGGUAACACUGGGGCAAGCCGGUAGGAGAGCGAUAGGCAAAUCCGUCGCUCACUAAUCCUGAGAGGUGACGCAUAGCCGGUUGAGGCGAAUUCGGUGAUCCUCUGCUGCCAAGAAAAGCCUCUAGCGAGCACACACACGGCCCGUACCCCAAACCGACACAGGUGGUCAGGUAGAGCAUACCAAGGCGUACGAGAUAACUAUGGUUAAGGAACUCGGCAAAAUGCCUCCGUAACUUCGGGAGAAGGGGGACCGGAAUAUCGUGAACACCCUUGCGGUGGGAGCGGGAUCCGGUCGCAGAAACCAGUGAGGAGCGACUGUUUACUAAAAACACAGGUCCGUGCGAAGUCGCAAGACGAUGUAUACGGACUGACGCCUGCCCGGUGCUGGAAGGUUAAGAGGACCCGUUAACCCGCAAGGGUGAAGCGGAGAAUUUAAGCCCCAGUAAACGGCGGUGGUAACUAUAACCAUCCUAAGGUAGCGAAAUUCCUUGUCGGGUAAGUUCCGACCUGCACGAAUGGCGUAACGACUUCUCAACUGUCUCAACCAUAGACUCGGCGAAAUUGCACUACGAGUAAAGAUGCUCGUUACGCGCGGCAGGACGAAAAGACCCCGGGACCUUCACUACAACUUGGUAUUGAUGUUCGGUACGGUUUGUGUAGGAUAGGUGGGAGACUGUGAAACCUCGACGCCAGUUGGGGCGGAGUCGUUGUUGAAAUACCACUCUGAUCGUAUUGGGCAUCUAACCUCGAACCCUGAAUCGGGUUUAGGGACAGUGCCUGGCGGGUAGUUUAACUGGGGCGGUUGCCUCCUAAAAUGUAACGGAGGCGCCCAAAGGUUCCCUCAACCUGGACGGCAAUCAGGUGGCGAGUGUAAAUGCACAAGGGAGCUUGACUGCGAGACUUACAAGUCAAGCAGGGACGAAAGUCGGGAUUAGUGAUCCGGCACCCCCGAGUGGAAGGGGUGUCGCUCAACGGAUAAAAGGUACCCCGGGGAUAACAGGCUGAUCUUCCCCAAGAGUCCAUAUCGACGGGAUGGUUUGGCACCUCGAUGUCGGCUCGUCGCAUCCUGGGGCUGGAGCAGGUCCCAAGGGUUGGGCUGUUCGCCCAUUAAAGCGGCACGCGAGCUGGGUUUAGAACGUCGUGAGACAGUUCGGUCUCUAUCCGCCGCGCGCGUCAGAAACUUGAGGAAACCUGUCCCUAGUACGAGAGGACCGGGACGGACGAACCUCUGGUGCACCAGUUGUCCCGCCAGGGGCACCGCUGGAUAGCCACGUUCGGUCAGGAUAACCGCUGAAAGCAUCUAAGCGGGAAACCUUCUCCAAGAUCAGGUUUCUCACCCACUUGGUGGGAUAAGGCCCCCCGCAGAACACGGGUUCAAUAGGUCAGACCUGGAAGCUCAGUAAUGGGUGUAGGGAACUGGUGCUAACCGGCCGAAAACUUACAACA